Molecule: ribosomal RNA, 933 nt
Filed under: Francisella philomiragia
Lineage: Bacteria; Pseudomonadati; Pseudomonadota; Gammaproteobacteria; Thiotrichales; Francisellaceae
Description: bacterial SSU rRNA
Rfam family: Bacterial small subunit ribosomal RNA
Source: RNAcentral
UUACCAUGCAAGUCGUACCAGGGUAACCACUUCGGAUGCUGACGAGUGGCGGACGGGUGAGUAACGCGUAGGAAUCUGCCCAUUUGAGGGGGAUACCAGUUGGAAACGACUGUUAAUACCGCAUAAUAUCUGUGGAUUAAAGGUGGCUUAGGCUGCCGCAGAUGGAUGAGCCUGCGUUGGAUUAGCUAGUUGGUGGGGUAAGGGCCUACCAAGGCUACGAUCCAUAGCUGAUUUGAGAGGAUGAUCAGCCACAUUGGGACUGAGACACGGCCCAAACUCCUACGGGAGGCAGCAGUGGGGAAUAUUGGACAAUGGGGGAAACCCUGAUCCAGCAAUGCCAUGUGUGUGAAGAAGGCUCUAGGGUUGUAAAGCACUUUAGUUGGGGAGGAAAGCCUAUGAGUUAAUAGCUUGUAGGAAGGACGUUACCCAAAGAAUAAGGACCGGCUAACUCCGUGCCAGCAGCCGCGGUAAUACGGGGGGUCCGAGCGUUAAUCGGAAUUACUGGGCGUAAAGGGUCUGUAGGUGGUUUGUUAAGUCAGAUGUGAAAGCCCAGGGCUCAACCUUGGAACUGCAUUUGAUACUGGCAAACUAGAGUAUGGUAGAGGAAUGGGGAAUUUCUGGUGUAGCGGUGAAAUGCGUAGAGAUCAGAAGGAACACCAAUGGCGAAGGCAACAUUCUGGACCAAUACUGACACUGAGGGACGAAAGCGUGGGGAUCAAACAGGAUUAGAUACCCUGGUAGUCCACGCUGUAAACGAUGAGUACUAGCUGUUGGAUUCGGUGUAAAGGAUCUAGUGGCGCAGCUAACGCGUUAAGUACUCCGCCUGGGGACUACGGCCGCAAGGCUAAAACUCAAAGGAAUUGACGGGGACCCGCACAAGCGGUGGAGCAUGUGGUUUAAUUCGAUGCAACGCGAAGAAUCUUUACCUGGGUC